GUCCAUGCCGUAAACGAUGAGUGUUCGCCCUUGGUCUACACGGUGCAGAUCGGGGGCCCAGCUAACGCGUGAAACACUCCGCCUGGGGAGUACGGUCGCAAGACCGAAACUCAAAGGAAUUGACGGGGGCCUGCACAAGCGGUGGAGCAUGUGGUUUAAUUCGAUACAACGCGCAAAACCUUACCAGCCCUUGACAUAUGAACAAUAAAACCUGUCCUUAAUGGGAUGGUACUUACUUUCAUACAGGUGCUGCAUGGCUGUCGU
RNAcentral lists this ribosomal RNA (264 nucleotides) under uncultured bacterium. RNAcentral's name for it is "partial 16S ribosomal RNA". It matches the Rfam family "Bacterial small subunit ribosomal RNA", at positions 793 to 1055 of the family's 1533-position model. The record is from RNAcentral.